This 463-nucleotide ribosomal RNA is filed under the name uncultured bacterium. RNAcentral describes it as "bacterial SSU rRNA". It matches the Rfam family "Bacterial small subunit ribosomal RNA", at positions 339 to 793 of the family's 1533-position model. The record is from RNAcentral.
GUACGGGAGGCAGCAGUGGGGAAUCUUGCACAAUGGGCGAAAGCCUGAUGCAGCGACGCCGCGUGUGUGAUGAAGGUCUUCGGAUCGUAAAGCACUUUCGAUCGGGACGAAACACCCGGGGGCGAAUACCCCUCGGGCUUGACGGUACCGGUAGAAGAAGCAACGGCUAACUCUGUGCCAGCAGCCGCGGUAAUACAGAGGUUGCGAGCGUUGUUCGGAAUUAUUGGGCGCAAAGCGCGUGUAGGCGGGACGGCAUGUCGAAUGUGAAAGCCCUCGGCUCAACCGAGGAAGUGCGUUCGAAACUACCGUUCUUGAGUGCCGGAGAGGGUGGCGGAAUUCCCGGUGUAGAGGUGAAAUUCGUAGAUAUCGGGAGGAACACCAGUGGCGAAGGCGGCCACCUGGACGGACACUGACGCUGAGACGCGAAAGCGUGGGGAGCAAACAGGAUUAGAUACCCGAGUAG